AUUGAACGCUGGCGGCAUGCCUUACACAUGCAAGUCGAACGGCAGCACGGGUGCUUGCACCUGGUGGCGCGUGGCGAACGGGUGAGUAAUAUAUCGGAACGUACCUUAUUGUGGGGGAUAACGCAGCGAAAGCUGUGCUAAUACCGCAUAAUCCCUAAGGGGGAAAGCGGGGGACCGUAAGGCCUCGCGCAAUUAGAGCGGCCGAUACCUGAUUAGCUAGUUGGUGAGGUAAAGGCUCACCAAGGCAACGAUCAGUAGCUGGUCUGAGAGGACGAUCAGCCACACUGGGACUGAGACACGGCCCAGACUCCUACGGGAGGCAGCAGUGGGGAAUUUUGGACAGUGGGGGCAACCCUGAUCCAGCAAUGCCGCGUGAGUGAAGAAGGCCUUCGGGUUGUAAAGCUCUUUUGUCAGGGAAGAAACAGCAGCUCUAACACAGUAUGCGAAUGACGGUACCUGAAGAAUAAGCACCGGCUAACUACGUGCCAGCCGCCGCAGUAA
Molecule: ribosomal RNA, 501 nt
Filed under: uncultured bacterium
Lineage: Bacteria
Description: partial 16S ribosomal RNA
Rfam family: Bacterial small subunit ribosomal RNA
Source: RNAcentral